UACGUAGGGUGCAAGCGUUGUCCGGAAUUACUGGGCGUAAAGGGCGCGUAGGCGGCCUUCUAAGUCGAACGUGAAAUCCCCGGGCUCAACCCGGGAACUGCGUCCGAUACUGGAAGGCUUGAAUCCGGGAGAGGGAUGCGGAAUUCCAGGUGUAGCGGUGAAAUGCGUAGAUAUCUGGAGGAACACCGGUGGCGAAGGCGGCAUCCUGGACCGGUAUUGACGCUGAGGCGCGAAAGCGUGGGGAGCGAACAGG
This 253-nucleotide ribosomal RNA is filed under the name uncultured bacterium. Its description in RNAcentral is "partial 16S ribosomal RNA". It matches the Rfam family "Bacterial small subunit ribosomal RNA", at positions 524 to 776 of the family's 1533-position model. The record is from RNAcentral.